UCUAAUGUGGCAGAAUAGUGCACCGGACUUAAACCCCGAAAAUAAAGAUCUUCUUUCUUUAGAA
Molecule: transfer RNA, 64 nt
Filed under: Altica litigata (crepe myrtle flea beetle)
Lineage: Eukaryota; Metazoa; Arthropoda; Insecta; Coleoptera; Chrysomelidae
Description: tRNA-Leu
Rfam family: tRNA
About the family: Transfer RNA (tRNA) molecules are approximately 80 nucleotides in length.
Source: RNAcentral